GAGUCCAUAGCUCAGGGGUAGAGCGUUCGGUUCACAUCCGAAAGGUCGAUGGUUCAAAUCCAUCUGGACUCAC
This 73-nucleotide transfer RNA is filed under the name Parcubacteria group bacterium ADurb.Bin247. Its description in RNAcentral is "tRNA-Val". It matches the Rfam family "tRNA". Rfam says of the family: Transfer RNA (tRNA) molecules are approximately 80 nucleotides in length. Their secondary structure includes four short double-helical elements and three loops (D, anti-codon, and T loops). Further hydrogen bonds mediate the characteristic L-shaped molecular structure. tRNAs have two regions of fundamental functional importance: the anti-codon, which is responsible for specific mRNA codon recognition, and the 3' end, to which the tRNAs corresponding amino acid is attached (by aminoacyl-tRNA synthetases). tRNAs cope with the degeneracy of the genetic code in two manners: having more than one tRNA (with a specific anti-codon) for a particular amino acid; and 'wobble' base-pairing, i.e. permitting non-standard base-pairing at the 3rd anti-codon position. The record is from RNAcentral.